GCAGCAAGAAAAGUGAGGGACUUUUAGGGGCAGCUGUGUUUUAUUAACCCAGUCAUAAUGCCCCUAAAAAUCCUUAUUACUCUUGCAAUGGUC
This 93-nucleotide microRNA precursor is filed under the name Xyrichtys novacula (pearly razorfish). It matches the Rfam family "mir-365 microRNA precursor family". Lineage: Eukaryota; Metazoa; Chordata; Actinopteri; Labriformes; Labridae. The record is from RNAcentral.